Molecule: ribosomal RNA, 222 nt
Filed under: uncultured bacterium
Lineage: Bacteria
Description: partial 16S ribosomal RNA
Rfam family: Bacterial small subunit ribosomal RNA
Source: RNAcentral
ACGCUCGACACCUACGGGAGGCAGCAGUAGGGAAUCUUCCACAAUGGACGCAAGUCUGAUGGAGCAACGCCGCGUGAGUGAAGAAGGUUUUCGGAUCGUAAAGCUCUGUUGUUGGUGAAGAAGGAUAGAGGUAGUAACUGGCCUUUAUUUGACGGUAAUCAACCAGAAAGUCACGGCUAACUACGUGCAGCAGCCGCGGUAAUCUGAGCGGGCUGGCAAGGC